RNA transcript from Phyllopteryx taeniolatus (common seadragon), 2697 nucleotides. It is a transcript of the gene named sentrin-specific protease 7-like, with no coding region annotated. The transcript is spliced from 20 exons. Lineage: Eukaryota; Metazoa; Chordata; Actinopteri; Syngnathiformes; Syngnathidae. The record is from RefSeq and is a predicted model, not a curated record.
CCUUCGACUUUACUGUUUUGGGAACGUCGAACGAGAGCAGAUCACUUGCCGGGCCUACUAGCUAGAGACUUGCUGGCCGGCUAACCAGGCUAACCGGCUUGGGUAGAUAGAGCUCGCGAGCUAGCUUGGGGUUGCCAGCAGCAGACAGUAGGUUGGUCUCAUUAAAAGUUCACCGUUGGAGCCGUUUAAGUUCCUCUCUGCAAAACGCUAAUGGACGAACGGAAUUUCUCAAGAUGGGGAAAAUCUCCAAGAAGACGUCGAUCGAAGACUCUGACUCCACCCACCAACGGUCAAACUCACCGCAGAUCUCCGUGCUUAACGUCAAGAAAUCUGUGCGCGGGUGGAGUCAUGGCCGCCUCCAUCGCCAGAGGGCGCAUGGUAAGCUGUAUUUUAAAGACGUUGUCAAGAUGCUGAUGGGACUGGGGAGACCGCCCAGAGAAACAUCCACGACCAGUCACACAGCAGCAGGGGGCAGUAACAGCCAAUCACACGGGUCAACGGAAGCUGCGUCCCCCAUGUUACACAGAUGGCGCCCAAAGCGCCCCUCAGAUCAUUAUCUCCAGCCUGUUUCAGAGUGUCUUCCUCCACAGAAGAGUGACUAUAUUGGCAAAAGUGUUUUUUCACCUGAUAAGUGUGUAUUUGUGGUGGCGUAUGACUCGCUGAGAGGGCAGCUACAGAAUGGGAGUUUGAGCUCCUCUUUGCAGGCAUAUAAAACACUACAAAAAGCUGAUGUUAUGCAGGAGUCUACUUCAACUACAAAUGAAGCGUCUUCGUCACGAGAGACAAAAGCUCAUGCUGAUCGAAUCCUCAACAGGAAGUCCAACAGGAGCAAGUCAAAUGAGGAGCCAGGAGAGGACGAGAGAAAGAUAUGGAUGGCCUUUUGCCGGAGGAAGAAAACAAGUAGGGUAGCUGGCCUUUAUCCUCGUAGCAGGAAACCAACUCGGUCGGAGCCCAUUGUUUUAUCCAGUGAAGACGACGAGGCGGAUGAACGUGAUGAGGGCAGCCAGAUUUACCAGACUCCUCAUUGGAAUCAAAUACCUCAUCAGACACAAGGAGGAGACCUGGAGCUACCGUCCUUCCUGGAGCUGGACUUUUUGUCGCUUGACAUUGGCUUGAUGCAUUCUGAUGCCAGUGGGAAGAUGAAGAUUACAUCCAGCGGAAUUGUUCUCCCGCUUAAAGGAGUGGAAGAAAGCGAGGUGACUGUGGUUGCGUCACAAAUGCUAGGCUAUGGUUUAUGGGAUGGCAGUGUAGCUCUGGAUGGGACUCUGCUAGAUGAGGUGGUAGGGCCCGCGCCGUCGCUCCUCUUCCUGUGGGUGACGGAUGCCCAGGCCAACGUGCUGCACAGGGAGAUAGCCCUCAUCCAGAAUACCAGUGCCCCAGGCCAACCAUGCUCCAUCCUUCUACUGGUGAUGGCAGAGCAGCUUCCUGACUCCCAGGCUGCACUGUUGGCAUCUAUGUUGGAGAUGACGGAGUUCAGGGAAGGCCGCUCCUCCUCAGGAGGGGGGCUGACCUCCCCUCUGGACUGGACUGAUGGGCUGCUGCUCAUCCACAGCUGCCCCGCCCCACUGGACGAACACCUCCUUCGUCUGCUGGGCCAGUUGCCGGAGAUGUCCAAUCCGCUGAGAAGAAGCUGCAGAAAUCAGGCAUCUGCUUUGGAGGUGGCCAGCAGGUUAAUUCAGUAUCCGGCGGCACCCUCCAGAGGCCGGAUCACAGUGACAAAGGAGGACUUGGCCUGUCUGGAAAGUGGCCAGUUCCUUAAUGAUGUCAUCAUAGACUUUUACCUCAAAUUCCUCCUCCUGGAGGGUGGUGGCCGAGCCGUGGCUGAGCGGAGUCACAUCUUCAGUAGUUUCUUCUUUAAACACCUCAGCAGUCGGCAAAUCUCCAGUGAGGGUGCUGCUGUCGCCCCAGAUCAGUACAUGAGGCACCAGAGGGUGAAGACAUGGACUCGCCAUGUUGACAUUUUCACUAAAGACUUCCUGUUUGUGCCCAUCAAUAAGGAAGCUCACUGGUUCCUGGCGGUGAUUUGUUUCCCAGGUCAGGCUGGCACUCAUUAUGAGCAGCGUACAAGUGGAACCAAGCUCCUCAGUAUGAGAUCAGAGCAGCCGCCGCUGCCAAAUAACCCAAGAGCGCUUACCACUCCUGGGAAAGUUCACCACUCCUCCCAGUUUUGUCCAUUCGUGGAUAAUCGCUCUGUCUGAGGUUCGCCGGAGUCCCAAAGCCUUGGAAAUGGCUUUAUAACUUUUUCUGGACUGAUACUGAUUUCAAUCCCUUCGUUUCUUCAAUGAGUAGCAGUAAGUUUGACUUCAGUGUACAGUAUUGUCUACAGUGUACUCUUUGGAACCUACACCAGUACUGACCAGUAUCCAGGUAUUUAUUGAACACACAGGUGUCAGGUUUUUACAAUUAACAAAGAUUUUUUUUUAUCAAAUCGUAUCAUAUUAAAAAGUAGAAUGAUUGAAUUCUUGUAAAAAGUAAUCGUUAUACCCCUGCAGUUUGGUGUUUCAGUUAGUGUGCGAUCAAAGAUUAAAAUCCAAUGUCUUUUUGCAGCCAUGUACAGAGCAAGGUUGCAUGAGGGAGGUCACGUUGACUCGGCCAUGCAUCUUGGUCAUGGACUCUCUGAAAGUGCAGCAACAUGAAAACGUUUGCAAGCUACUGCGAGACUACCUGGAGGUGGAGUGGGAAGAACGUAGGGGGCUA